CCACAUGCUCACAUACAAUUUACCUGUGAACCUCGCUGCCACAGAUCAUCCAUGCUGAAGUCUACACUGGUUCAGAAGAGAUUCAUCAAACUCUCAGAAGGAAAUCCAGAAAAGACUUUGAACACUAUGGUGCCAGGACUUCCCUAUGCCAUCAAGCCCAUGGCACUUGGAGAGAUUUUUCCCUGGGGAACUAUCAUUACAUGAUUUUCUUCUGUUCCUGUAAUCUUUGGCUACUGGCUAUGGUUCCUGAGAGGAGACACAGGCAAACGAGCCUGUGGCUGACUGAGAACCACCCCUUUUAUGAACUGAGCUUGCCAGACACUAGUACGUGACAGCCCAAAGAGAGAAAGAAGCUGCGCUGCUCAGUGCACUGUAAGUAAGGAGCAAUUUCAAUGUAAUGCCUGGAACUCUGCCUGCUGCUGAAAUGCAUGGAUAUAAAUUAGAGUUAACUCCCCCGGCUACCCUGGAUUUACACUAAAAUGAGGUGUUAAGGGGAGCUUCUGUGGAUAAAAGGAUGAAAUGUUGCUGAACUACUGGAUCCUGGAACAGCCUGUUCUGCACAGGAGCAAAGAAGAACAAGAUGCUCUGAGUUCAGAUGAGUAAGUAAGUGCCAUUCCUGGUAAGUGGUGUGCUGUAAGGACAGAACUGUGAGGGGACAGGAGUGAGUGAAGCAUGGAGCUGGAAAAUUCUCACUCAGA
Oxyura jamaicensis (ruddy duck) is the source of this 698-nucleotide long non-coding RNA. RefSeq lists it as uncharacterized. The transcript is spliced from 3 exons. Lineage: Eukaryota; Metazoa; Chordata; Aves; Anseriformes; Anatidae. The record is from RefSeq and is a predicted model, not a curated record.